Molecule: small nuclear RNA, 291 nt
Filed under: Chinchilla lanigera (long-tailed chinchilla)
Lineage: Eukaryota; Metazoa; Chordata; Mammalia; Rodentia; Chinchillidae
Description: 7SK RNA (ENSCLAG00000022112.1)
Rfam family: 7SK RNA
About the family: 7SK was discovered as an abundant small nuclear RNA in the mid-70s but a possible function has only recently been suggested. Two independent studies have found that 7SK RNA binds the CDK9/cyclin T complex (known as elongation factor P-TEFb). P-TEFb activates transcription by phosphorylating the C-terminal domain of RNA polymerase II.
Source: Rfam by way of RNAcentral
GGAUGUGAGGGUGACCUGGCUGUGACAUCUGUCACCCCAUUGAUCACCAGGGUUGAUUUGGCUGAGCUGGCCAGCUAGGCUGGGGUCCCCUUCCUCCCUCAACGCUCCGCGUGCGUCCUCCCGAAGCUACACUCUGGGUUGAAGAGGACGACCACCCAAUAGAGGAGGACCGUCCCUCGGGCCAGGGUGUCUGAGUAGUUGUGCUCCCCUGCUAGAACCUCCAAACAAGCUCUGAAGUAUGAGACAAAUUUCUACAGCUUAUGGUUUUACAUUUACUUUGUCAUAGUCUGU